GAUGAACGCUGGCGGCGUGCCUAAUACAUGCAAGUCGAGCGAACAGAUGAGGAGCUUGCUCCUCUGACGUUAGCGGCGGACGGGUGAGUAACACGUGGAUAACCUACCUAUAAGACUGGGAUAACUUCGGGAAACCGGAGCUAAUACCGGAUAAUAUAUUGAACCGCAUGGUUCAAUAGUGAAAGACGGUUUUGCUGUCACUUAUAGCUGGAUCCGCGCCGCAUUAGCUAGUUGGUAAGGUAACGGCUUACCAAGGCAACGAUGCGUAGCCGACCUGAGAGGGUGAUCGGCCACACUGGAACUGAGACACGGUCCAGACUCCUACGGGAGGCAGCAGUAGGGAAUCUUCCGCAAUGGGCGAAAGCCUGACGGAGCAACGCCGCGUGAGUGAUGAAGGUCUUCGGAUCGUAAAACUCUUUUAUUAGGGAAGAACAAAUGUGUAAGUAACUAUGCACGUCUUGACGGUACCUAAUCAGAAAGCCACGGCUAACUACGUG
This 497-nucleotide ribosomal RNA is filed under the name uncultured bacterium. RNAcentral describes it as "partial 16S ribosomal RNA". It matches the Rfam family "Bacterial small subunit ribosomal RNA", at positions 28 to 507 of the family's 1533-position model. The record is from RNAcentral.